Potamilus streckersoni is the source of this 74-nucleotide non-coding RNA. The record is from the annotation of a GenBank genome assembly. NCBI's taxonomy places the organism in Eukaryota, Metazoa, Mollusca, Bivalvia, Unionida, Unionidae.
CACUCCGGUGGCCUUGUGGUUAGAUCGUCAGCCUCGGAUGCAGGAAGACCUGGGUUCUAUCCCCGGCCGAGUCA